CUGCUCCUGUCCCUCCCCGCAUGAGAAGCUAGCCCAGACACACCUGCCCCAGCCAGGAAAGAUCUUGCUCCCAAAGAAGCACCUUGUGUUCAGCCUGCUUCCCACAAAGAAGAGUGUGCAAAUCCACCUCUGUCGCCGUCUUCCGGGAACUUCGCCUGGCCGCGGCUAGGAUCUUCCUGCACAGAGGCCGGCCAGAUCCAGCCCCUCCCAUCCCUGGCUUUGAGGACAGCACAGCAGUGUGGCCUCCCUGUGUCCACCUCGCGAGCUGAGUGGAGCCCAUGGCCCGUGAGAGCCCAGGGGAAGGUGCUGUGGUCCGAGCUGCCCAGGACAGGCCCUGCACCUGUGCAAAGCAACGCUGCAUUCGUAGCUGGAAACUGCAAAGGAGGUGGAAAUUACUCGGCUGCUUCAUCCAGAAUCAGAAUCAGCGCUGGCAAAGUCAGGCCACCUCUUAAGAAAGCAGGUGUGGUGCAGUCUCUGGGCACCUCCGUGGUCUGUGCCUGGCAUCCACGGCCCCAGUGUCCCAGGCCACCUCUCCUAAUGCUGCCUUGCCAUGGUCCCCAGGGCCACCCCACUGUCCCCACCGACCCCAGGCCACUGCUUCCUCCCCAGCUCUCUGAACAGGGUCUGUGUCUCCUCCGACUGCAGAGCACAGCACACGACUGACCAUUCCAACUCAGCAUGGCUGCGCUUCCUGCUCAGGGUCCUGUGAGGCUGGGAGCUGGGUGUGGAUCAUUGUCUGGGGCUCCCACCUCCAUCAGCACCAAUCCACUGGGGCUGGGGCUCACCAAAUAGCCUUCCCCCCACCAGGGGCCCUCCCUGGAGAACCCCAUGUUUGUCUCAAAAACAAAAACAAACAACAAACAAACAAAAAACACCAUAAAGGGCUGGGGCUGUAGCUCAGGGUGGAGGCUCUGGUUCAACCCCAGCACUAAGGGGAGAGAGGAAAGAUAUACUACAGGAUCCUAUUUUCUUCCUCUCUUACCGUCCACCUGGGAAGCAGGAAUUCCUGGGCUUACCCAGCAUCUGUCACACUGUUAGGUAUUUACAAAAGUGACUUGUAUGGCUUUAGACACACCCCUUCCUCUUUCCUGGCCUCAGUUUCCCUGGAUCUCGUAGGAAGAGCCUUAGCUUUCAAAGCACCAUAUUCCGUCCUUCUGCCUGGCCCCUCCAAGCUGCCAACGAUGGGCUUUUGGAAGGUCUCAUCUUCAUGACCAAGAGCUUCCCAGGGAUUUGAACCCUCUCCAGGGUGACACGAUGGGGCCCUGAGCACGUUAGCCUUGGUGGGACCCUUCCUCCAUUAUAAAGGAAAUAACAACAAUAUUUUGUUGUUUUUUUUAUGACAAGGUCUUACUAUGUAUUCCAGGCUGGCCUUGAACUCACUAUGUAGCCCAGGCUGGCCUCAAAUUUGAGGCAACCCUCCUGCCUCAGCCUUGAGAAAUAGGAGUACAGGUAUAGGCCACCACACCCAGUUAGAAUGAC
RNAcentral lists this long non-coding RNA (1479 nucleotides) under Fukomys damarensis (Damara mole-rat). RNAcentral's name for it is "lncRNA (ENSFDAG00000032538.1)". Lineage: Eukaryota; Metazoa; Chordata; Mammalia; Rodentia; Bathyergidae. The record is from RNAcentral.